This 462-nucleotide ribosomal RNA is filed under the name Streptococcus parasanguinis. Its description in RNAcentral is "bacterial SSU rRNA". It matches the Rfam family "Bacterial small subunit ribosomal RNA", at positions 28 to 474 of the family's 1533-position model. The record is from RNAcentral. Lineage: Bacteria; Bacillati; Bacillota; Bacilli; Lactobacillales; Streptococcaceae.
GAUGAACGCGGCGGCGUGCUAAUACAUGCAAGUAGAACGCUGAAGCUUGGUGCUUGCACCGAGCGGAUGAGUUGCGAACGGGUGAGUAACGCGUAGGUAACCUGCCUCUUAGCGGGGGAUAACUAUUGGAAACGAUAGCUAAUACCGCAUAAAAGUCGAUAUCGCAUGAUAUUGAUUUGAAAGGUGCAAUUGCAUCACUAAGAGAUGGACCUGCGUUGUAUUAGCUAGUUGGUGAGGUAACGGCUCACCAAGGCGACGAUACAUAGCCGACCUGAGAGGGUGAUCGGCCACACUGGGACUGAGACACGGCCCAGACUCCUACGGGAGGCAGCAGUAGGGAAUCUUCGGCAAUGGGGGCAACCCUGACCGAGCAACGCCGCGUGAGUGAAGAAGGUUUUCGGAUCGUAAAGCUCUGUUGUAAGAGAAGAACGAGUGUGAGAGUGGAAAGUUCACACUGUGACG